Molecule: ribosomal RNA, 253 nt
Filed under: uncultured bacterium
Lineage: Bacteria
Description: partial 16S ribosomal RNA
Rfam family: Bacterial small subunit ribosomal RNA
Source: RNAcentral
UACAGAGGUCUCAAGCGUUGUUCGGAUUCAUUGGGCGUAAAGGGUGUGUAGGUGGCGCCGUAAGUCGGGUGUGAAAUUUCGGAGCUUAACUCCGAAACUGCAUUCGAUACUGCGGUGCUUGAGGACUGGAGAGGAGACUGGAAUUCAUGGUGUAGCAGUGAAAUGCGUAGAGAUCAUGAGGAAGACCAGUGGCGAAGGCGGAUCUCUGGACAGUUACUGACACUGAGGCACGAAGGCCAGGGGAGCAAACGGG